RNAcentral lists this ribosomal RNA (450 nucleotides) under uncultured bacterium. RNAcentral's name for it is "bacterial SSU rRNA". It matches the Rfam family "Bacterial small subunit ribosomal RNA", at positions 354 to 796 of the family's 1533-position model. The record is from RNAcentral.
GUGGGGAAUAUUGGACAAUGGGCGAAAGCCUGAUCCAGCCAUGCCGCGUGUGUGAAGAAGGUCUUCGGAUUGUAAAGCACUUUAAGUUGGGAGGAAGGGCAGUAAGUUAAUACCUUGCUGUUUUGACGUUACCAACAGAAUAAGCACCGGCUAACUUCGUGCCAGCAGCCGCGGUAAUACGAAGGGUGCAAGCGUUAAUCGGAAUUACUGGGCGUAAAGCGCGCGUAGGUGGUUCAGCAAGUUGGAGGUGAAAUCCCCGGGCUCAACCUGGGAACUGCCUCCAAAACUACUGAGCUAGAGUACGGUAGAGGGUAGUGGAAUUUCCUGUGUAGCGGUGAAAUGCGUAGAUAUAGGAAGGAACACCAGUGGCGAAGGCGACUACCUGGACUGAUACUGACACUGAGGUGCGAAAGCGUGGGGAGCAAACAGGAUUAGAUACCCCAGUAGUCC